This 279-nucleotide ribosomal RNA is filed under the name Pichia terricola. RNAcentral describes it as "partial large subunit ribosomal RNA". Lineage: Eukaryota; Fungi; Ascomycota; Pichiomycetes; Pichiales; Pichiaceae. The record is from RNAcentral.
GACGAGUCGGUGUUUGGGAAAUGCAGCUCUAAGGGGUGGUAAAUUCCAUCUAAGGCUAAAUACUGGCGAGAGACCGAUAGCGAACAAGUACUGUGAAGGAAAKAUGAAAAGCACUUUGAAAAGAGAGUGAAACAGCACGUGAAUUGUUGAAAGGGAAGGGUAUUGGGCUCGACAUGGGGACUGCGCACCGUUGCUUCUUGUAGGCGGCGCUCUGUGCGGKUUCUGGGCCAGCAUCAGUUUUUGCCGCGGAGAAUGGGGGGAGGAACGUGGCUCUUCGGA